ACGCUGGCGGCAGGCCUAACACAUGCAAGUCGAGCGGAAACGACACUAACAAUCCUUCGGGUGCGUUAAUGGGCGUCGAGCGGCGGACGGGUGAGUAAUGCCUAGGAAAUUGCCUUGAUGUGGGGGAUAACCAUUGGAAACGAUGGCUAAUACCGCAUAAUGCCUACGGGCCAAAGAGGGGGACCUUCGGGCCUCUCGCGUCAAGAUAUGCCUAGGUGGGAUUAGCUAGUUGGUGAGGUAAUGGCUCACCAAGGCGACGAUCCCUAGCUGGUCUGAGAGGAUGAUCAGCCACACUGGAACUGAGACACGGUCCAGACUCCUACGGGAGGCAGCAGUGGGGAAUAUUGCACAAUGGGCGAAAGCCUGAUGCAGCCAUGCCGCGUGUAUGAAGAAGGCCUUCGGGUUGUAAAGUACUUUCAGUUGUGAGGAAGGGUGUGUAGUUAAUAGCUGCGCAUCUUGACGUUAGCAACAGAAGAAGCACCGGCUAACUCCGUGCCAGCAGCCGCGGUAAUACGGAGGGUGCGAGCGUUAAUCGGAAUUACUGGGCGUAAAGCGCAUGCAGGUGGUUCAUUAAGUCAGAUGUGAAAGCCCGGGGCUCAACCUCGGAACUGCAUUUGAAACUGGUGAACUAGAGUACUGUAGAGGGGGGUAGAAUUUCAGGUGUAGCGGUGAAAUGCGUAGAGAUCUGAAGGAAUACCAGUGGCGAAGGCGGCCCCCUGGACA
Molecule: ribosomal RNA, 723 nt
Filed under: Vibrio sp. 1E12
Lineage: Bacteria; Pseudomonadati; Pseudomonadota; Gammaproteobacteria; Vibrionales; Vibrionaceae
Description: bacterial SSU rRNA
Rfam family: Bacterial small subunit ribosomal RNA
Source: RNAcentral